This 834-nucleotide ribosomal RNA is filed under the name uncultured organism. RNAcentral's name for it is "bacterial SSU rRNA". It matches the Rfam family "Bacterial small subunit ribosomal RNA", at positions 13 to 893 of the family's 1533-position model. The record is from RNAcentral.
UUGAUCCUGGCUCACGAUAACGCUGGCGGUCUGCUUACACAUGCAAGUCGAACGCAACCUUCGGGUUGAGUGGCGGACGGGUGAGUAACGCGUGAGAAUCUGCCUUAGGGUCGGGGACAACCACUGGAAACGGUGGCUAAUACCGGAUAAGCCUUUGGGUAAAAAAUUUAUUGCCCCAAGAGGAGCUCGCGUCUGAUUAGCUAGUUGGUGAGGUAAAAGCUCACCAAGGCAGCGAUCAGUAGCUGGUCUGAGAGGACGAUCAGCCACACUGGGACUGAGACACGGCCCAGACUCCUACGGGAGGCAGCAGUGGGGAAUUUUCCGCAAUGGGCGAAAGCCUGACGGAGCAAGACCGCGUGAGGGAGGAAGGCUCUUGGGUUGUAAACCUCUUUUCUCAGGGAAGAAGCUCUGACGGUACCUGAGGAAUCAGCCUCGGCUAACUCCGUGCCAGCAGCCGCGGUAAUACGGAGGAGGCAAGCGUUAUCCGGAAUUAUUGGGCGUAAAGCGUCCGCAGGUGGCGAUUCAAGUCUGCUGUCAAAGCACGGGGCUUAACUCCGUUAAGGCAGUGGAAACUGAAUAGCUAGAGUGCCGUAGGGGUAGAGGGAAUUCCCGGUGUAGCGGUGAAAUGCGUAGAGAUCGGGAAGAACAUCGGUGGCGAAAGCGCUCUACUGGACGGCAACUGACACUCAGGGACGAAAGCUAGGGGAGCGAAUGGGAUUAGAUACCCCAGUAGUCCUAGCUGUAAACGAUGGAUACUAGGUGUAGCUUGUAUCGACCCGAGCUGUGCCGAAGCUAACGCGUUAAGUAUCCCGCCUGGGGAGUACGCACGCAAGU